RNAcentral lists this ribosomal RNA (602 nucleotides) under Burkholderia sp. N4b12_10. RNAcentral describes it as "bacterial SSU rRNA". It matches the Rfam family "Bacterial small subunit ribosomal RNA", at positions 404 to 998 of the family's 1533-position model. The record is from RNAcentral. Lineage: Bacteria; Pseudomonadati; Pseudomonadota; Betaproteobacteria; Burkholderiales; Burkholderiaceae.
UGUGAAGAAGGCCUUCGGGUUGUAAAGCACUUUUGUCCGGAAAGAAAACGUCUUGGUUAAUACCCGAGGCGGAUGACGGUACCGGAAGAAUAAGCACCGGCUAACUACGUGCCAGCAGCCGCGGUAAUACGUAGGGUGCGAGCGUUAAUCGGAAUUACUGGGCGUAAAGCGUGCGCAGGCGGUCUGUUAAGACCGAUGUGAAAUCCCCGGGCUUAACCUGGGAACUGCAUUGGUGACUGGCAGGCUUUGAGUGUGGCAGAGGGGGGUAGAAUUCCACGUGUAGCAGUGAAAUGCGUAGAGAUGUGGAGGAAUACCGAUGGCGAAGGCAGCCCCCUGGGCCAACACUGACGCUCAUGCACGAAAGCGUGGGGAGCAAACAGGAUUAGAUACCCUGGUAGUCCACGCCCUAAACGAUGUCAACUAGUUGUUGGGGAUUCAUUUCCUUAGUAACGUAGCUAACGCGUGAAGUUGACCGCCUGGGGAGUACGGUCGCAAGAUUAAAACUCAAAGGAAUUGACGGGGACCCGCACAAGCGGUGGAUGAUGUGGAUUAAUUCGAUGCAACGCGAAAAACCUUACCUACCCUUGACAUGGUCGGAAUCC